Molecule: non-coding RNA, 236 nt
Filed under: Christiangramia salexigens
Lineage: Bacteria; Pseudomonadati; Bacteroidota; Flavobacteriia; Flavobacteriales; Flavobacteriaceae
Also listed under: 1 other name
Source: RNAcentral
UUUUGUCUCUGAAAUUUUGGUUCAGCACCGAUCUAGUAAUCUGUGUGGAUUAAAAGGGAAUCAGGAGAAAUUUGAUUUAUGAACUGUAAAUUCAGAUUAAAGCCUGAGCUGUUCCCGCAACUGUAUGCUUAGCCCUUUAGGGUGACUGCAAUAAUUCUUCAAACCACUGCCCAUACGGGUGGGAAGGUGAAUUGUAGUACGCGAGCCAGGAGACCUGCCUGAAUUUCACCAAUAUC